ACAAGAGCCAUUCUCUCCGAGAAGGCUUAGCGAUGGGUCCAGACUCGGACCAACUUUGAUGAUGUUUUUGCUGGUAAUCGUAGCACUAAAAAUGCUAUCAUCGGCCCACAAUGACUAGCCCAGUGCCUUUCCAAUAUAAAGAUAAAAUUAGACCGUCACAAUCGGCAUCGGACUGGGCUUGAAACCUGGCUGAAAUCAGCUUUAUCUGUCUGUAUUAUA
This 219-nucleotide unclassified non-coding RNA is filed under the name Hevea brasiliensis (rubber tree). The record is from RNAcentral. Lineage: Eukaryota; Viridiplantae; Streptophyta; Magnoliopsida; Malpighiales; Euphorbiaceae.